GAUUUCAACUGAAAAAGUCAUCAAAAACAAAGUUGUAUAACUCAUCAAGAUCUAUAACUUAUAUUUUGGUCAUUUCUUCAUCUGACAAAGUGAUUUGUAAGAUUGUUCACAAAAUGUACAUAUCUUAUAUAGUUUUAUAAAAACUAUAUAAGAUAUGUACAUUUUGUGAACAAUCUUACAAAUCACUUUGUCGGAUGAAGAAAUGACCAAAAUAUAAGUUAUAGAUCUUGAUGAGUUAUACAACUUUGUUAUUGAUGACUUUUUCAGAUGAAAUC
This 275-nucleotide microRNA precursor is filed under the name Oryza glumipatula. RNAcentral's name for it is "MIR821 microRNA precursor family". It matches the Rfam family "MIR821 microRNA precursor family". The record is from Rfam by way of RNAcentral. Lineage: Eukaryota; Viridiplantae; Streptophyta; Magnoliopsida; Poales; Poaceae.